GGGAGAAGGAAGGCAGGCGCAGAGCGCUUUCGGAAUGCUUUCCGACGAAUUGCCGCCGACCGUCAGGGAGGGGGCAUUACCUUGU
RNAcentral lists this small RNA (85 nucleotides) under Lachnospiraceae bacterium 3-1. RNAcentral describes it as "GA-cis RNA". It matches the Rfam family "GA-cis RNA". Lineage: Bacteria; Bacillati; Bacillota; Clostridia; Lachnospirales; Lachnospiraceae. The record is from Rfam by way of RNAcentral.